GUAUCCAUUUUUGGUAUUGCUAUUGAUAGUAAUAAGUUUCAGAAAUGUCUCAUCAGAAAGGCCAUAAAGGGCAUCAGCAGCAGCAGCGAGGUUUAUCACGAGAGCAGUUAACUCAACUUCUACAUACAGCGCAACAGCUUUCUAGGGCUGACGAUGGGAAUGAGUUCUUUUGGACUAUUAUCAUAAAUACACUCAAUUUCCUUAUAGCGCAUCAUCAAGGUUGAUAGGGACAUGGAGUUGGACACUGAUGAAUGUUUCAAAAAAUUGCAACCGACCUUGACCUUUUCUCUACCCAGAACUUUCAUUGCUUCCUAUUAUAUCUGUUUAUGAUUGAAUUUCGGGGUUUGAUACCUCAAAAUAAAUUAGAAUAGUACAAAAUGAA
This is a long non-coding RNA of Ostrea edulis (European flat oyster), 382 nucleotides long. RefSeq lists it as uncharacterized. NCBI's taxonomy places the organism in Eukaryota, Metazoa, Mollusca, Bivalvia, Ostreida, Ostreidae. The transcript is spliced from 3 exons. The record is from RefSeq and is a predicted model, not a curated record.